GCAAGUUGAACGAACAAAGCUGGAGCUUGCUUCAGCCGCGUAAGUGGCAAACGGGUGAGUAACACGUGGGAAUCUACCCAUCAGUACGGAAUAACAUUUGGAAACAAAUGCUAAUACCGUAUAUUCUCUACGGAGGAAAGAUUUAUCGCUGAUGGAUGAGCCCGCGCAAGAUUAGGUAGUUGGUGGGGUAAUGGCCUACCAAGCCGACGAUCUUUAGCCGACCUGAGAGGGUGAUC
Molecule: ribosomal RNA, 236 nt
Filed under: uncultured bacterium
Lineage: Bacteria
Description: partial 16S ribosomal RNA
Rfam family: Bacterial small subunit ribosomal RNA
Source: RNAcentral